UAGAGUUUGAUCCUGGCUCAGAUUGAACGCUGGCGGCAGGCCUAACACAUGCAAGUCGAGCGGUAGAGAGAAGCUUGCUUCUCUUGAGAGCGGCGGACGGGUGAGUAAUGCCUAGGAAUCUGCCUGGUAGUGGGGGAUAACGUUCGGAAACGGACGCUAAUACCGCAUACGACCUACGGGAGAAAGCAGGGGACCUUCGGGCCUUGCGCUAUCAGAUGAGCCUAGGUCGGAUUAGCUAGUUGGUGGGGUAAUGGCUCACCAAGGCGACGAUCCGUAACUGGUCUGAGAGGAUGAUCAGUCACACUGGAACUGAGACACGGUCCAGACUCCUACGGGAGGCAGCAGUGGGGAAUAUUGGACAAUGGGCGAAAGCCUGAUCCAGCCAUGCCGCGUGUGUGAAGAAGGUCUUCGGAUUGUAAAGCACUUUAAGUUGGGAGGAAGGGUUGUAGAUUAAUACUCUGCAAUUUUGACGUUACCGACAGAAUAAGCACCGGCUAACUCUGUGCCAGCAGCCGCGGUAAUACAGAGGGUGCAAGCGUUAAUCGGAAUUACUGGGCGUAAAGCGCGCGUAGGUGGUUUGUUAAGUUGGAUGUGAAAUCCCCGGGCUCAACCUGGGAACUGCAUUCAAAACUGACUGACUAGAGUAUGGUAGAGGGUGGUGGAACUUCCUGUGUAGCGGUGAAAUGCGUAGAUAUAGGAAGGAACACCAGUGGCGAAGGCGACCACCUGGACUAAUACUGACACUGAGGUGCGAAAGCGUGGGGAGCAAACAGGAUUAGAUACCCUGGUAGUCCACGCCGUAAACGAUGUCAACUAGCCGUUGGGAGCCUUGAGCUCUUAGUGGCGCAGCUAACGCAUUAAGUUGACCGCCUGGGGGAGUACGGCCGCAGGUAAAAACUCAAAUGAAUUGACGG
Molecule: ribosomal RNA, 914 nt
Filed under: uncultured bacterium
Lineage: Bacteria
Description: bacterial SSU rRNA
Rfam family: Bacterial small subunit ribosomal RNA
Source: RNAcentral